GAGACAGACAUCACCUCCUGCGAUCUACUCCCCCAGUUAAAGGAGAGAGAGAGAAAGAGAGGACAGGAGGGAAAAACGGAAGUCGCUGGGAUAUUCGUUUUUUUCUUUCGUUUUGUUUUUUUCUUUUUCCUCAUUGUGGUGCUGGGAGGCUCGUCUUCUUUUCACCUGUUUGCGCUCUCCAUCAUUUGCCUCCUGAUUUAUUUCUCCAUCUACAUGGUGUACAAUUUUGUCUACCUAUGACACACACUGGAUCAGGGAAAGAAGGGGAGAGGGGCUUUUUUCCGUUCUUUCCUUUCAUUCGCUUUCCAGUGGCCCUUGGUUCUGACUUUGAUCCGACUUCACUCCUCCAUCAGUCCCUCCUUCCCAUCUCCGGUCGGACCAUCCCUCUCUCCAUCCAUCCUGCCCCCCUCCAACAAAAAAACUCUGGCAUUCACUGAAUGAAAGUUGGACAGAAUUCUUAAAAAAGUCUACAGUCUACCACAUUCCUCUUCUUUUAGUUGUAUCAUCCUUUCUUUCCCCCCUCUUUUCCUUUUUUCCUUCCCUUGGUCCUCCAAUACCUGUCCUUUCACAUCACUCCUUUUUUUCCGGAUGCUUUAAAGUUCCUCUAGUGAUGCAAUAAGGAGGCAGUGGAGGAUGCAGGUGGGGAUCUUCAAAAAGAACUGAACGACAGCUUGAGACCUACAUCAGUGAAGAUCUAAAGAUAUUUCUUCUUCAAAAAUAGUAUCUUUUUGAGAUACCAAGAAAGAAGCCAAAAGGACAAAACUCACUGUCAGCUGCUUGCAAACUUUCAUUUUUCGGCUCACUAGUGUUGACUCAUAUCAGUUGUUGUUUUUUUUUGUAAGAAGACGAUGCCAC
This is a long non-coding RNA of Ictalurus punctatus (channel catfish), 855 nucleotides long. The record is from Ensembl. NCBI's taxonomy places the organism in Eukaryota, Metazoa, Chordata, Actinopteri, Siluriformes, Ictaluridae.